Molecule: ribosomal RNA, 253 nt
Filed under: uncultured bacterium
Lineage: Bacteria
Description: partial 16S ribosomal RNA
Rfam family: Bacterial small subunit ribosomal RNA
Source: RNAcentral
UACAGAGGGUCCAAGCGUUAUCCGGAUUUAUUGGGCGUAAAGCGUCUGUAGGUUGUUAACUAAGUCUGAAGUGAAAGAAUGGAGCUCAACUCCAUACACGCUUUGGAAACUGGUUGACUAGAGAAUGUUAGAGGUAAGUGGAAUUUCUAGUGUAGCGGUGAAAUGCGUAGAUAUUAGAAAGAACACCAGAGGCGAAGGCGACUUACUGGGACAUUUCUGACACUGAGAGACGAAAGCAUGGGGAGCGAAAGGG